UGUGACGAAUAUGACGGUAGCAUAUGAAUAAGGAUCGGCUAACUCCGUGCCAGCAGCCGCGGUCAUACGGAGGAUCCAAGCGUUAUCCGGAAUUACUGGGCGUAAAGAGUUGCGUAGGUGGCAUAGUAAGCGGGUAGUGAAAGCGUGUGGCUCAACCAUACUCACAUUAUCUGAACUGCUAAGCUAGAGGACGAGAGAGGUUAUUGGAAUUCCCAGUGUAGGAGUGAAAUCCGUAGAUAUUGGGAGGAACACCGAUGGCGUAGGCAGAUAACUGGCUCGUUCCUGACACUAAGGCACGAAAGCGUGGGUAGCAAACGGGAUUAGAUACCCCGGUAGUCCACGCCGUAAACGAUGGAUGCUAGCUGUAUUCGGUAUCGACCCCGGAUGUAGCGAAGCUAACGCGUUAAGCAUCCCGCCUGUGGAGUACGGUCGCAAGACUAAAACAUAAAGGAAUUGACGGGGACCCGCACAAGCGGUGGAGCGUGUUGUUUAAUUCGAUGGUAAGCGAAGAACCUUACCCAGGCUUGACAUCCUGCGAAUUUCUCCGAAAGGAGAGAGUGCUUUAUUGAACGCAGUGACAGGUGAUGCAUGGCCGUCGUCAGCUCGUGUCGUGAGAUGUU
RNAcentral lists this ribosomal RNA (620 nucleotides) under uncultured soil bacterium. Its description in RNAcentral is "bacterial SSU rRNA". It matches the Rfam family "Bacterial small subunit ribosomal RNA", at positions 441 to 1076 of the family's 1533-position model. The record is from RNAcentral.